RNAcentral lists this ribosomal RNA (468 nucleotides) under uncultured bacterium. Its description in RNAcentral is "partial 16S ribosomal RNA". It matches the Rfam family "Bacterial small subunit ribosomal RNA", at positions 28 to 507 of the family's 1533-position model. The record is from RNAcentral.
GACGAACGCUGGCGGCGUGCUUAACACAUGCAAGUCGAACGGAAAGGCCCUGCUUUUGCGGGGUGCUCGAGUGGCGAACGGGUGAGUAACACGUGAGUAACCUGCCCUUGACUUUGGGAUAACUUCAGGAAACUGGGGCUAAUACCGGAUAGGAGCUCCUGCUGCAUGGUGGGGGUUGGAAAGUUUCGGCGGUUGGGGAUGGACUCGCGGCUUAUCAGCUUGUUGGGGGGGUAGUGGCUUACCAAGGCUUUGACGGGUAGCCGGCCUGGGAGGGUGACCGGCCACAUGGGGACUGCGAUACGGCCCAGACGCCUACGGUAGGCAGCAGGGGGAAAUAUUGCACAGUGGGGGGAAGCCUGAUGCAGCAGCGCCGGGUGCGGGAUGACGGCCUUCGGGUUGUAAACCGCUUUCGCCUGUGACGAAGCGUGAGUGACGGUAAUGGGUAAAGAAGCACCGGCUAACUACGUG